RNAcentral lists this ribosomal RNA (448 nucleotides) under uncultured bacterium. Its description in RNAcentral is "bacterial SSU rRNA". It matches the Rfam family "Bacterial small subunit ribosomal RNA", at positions 328 to 793 of the family's 1533-position model. The record is from RNAcentral.
CGCCCAGACUCCUACGGGAGGCAGCAGUGAGGAAUAUUGCACAAUGGGGGAAACCCUGAUGCAGCGACGCCGCGUGAGCGAUGAAGUAUUUCGGUCUGUAAAGCUCUAUCAGCAGGGAAGAAGAUGACGGUACCUGACUAAGAAGCCCCGGCUAACUACGUGCCAGCAGCCGCGGUAAUACGUAGGGGGCAAGCGUUAUCCGGAUUUACUGGGUGUAAAGGGAGCGUAGACGGCGAUGCAAGCCAGAUGUGAAAGCCCGGGGCUCAACCCCGGGACUGCAUUUGGAACUGUGUGGCUGGAGUGUCGGAGAGGCAGGCGGAAUUCCUAGUGUAGCGGUGAAAUGCGUAGAUAUCAGGAGGAACACCGGUGGCGAAGGCGGCCUGCUGGACUGCAACUGACGUUGAGGCCCGAAAGCGUGGGGAGCAAACAGGAUUAGAUACCCUGGUAC